Long non-coding RNA from Macaca mulatta (Rhesus monkey), 1929 nucleotides. The record is from Ensembl. Lineage: Eukaryota; Metazoa; Chordata; Mammalia; Primates; Cercopithecidae.
UUUGUAUUAAGAAAUUGUAACAAUCAAGGAUUUCCCUUCUGUUUUCAAUGACUCAUGUAUGCAUAUUAUUUAAAUGUAAACUACCAUUUUUAUGAAUGAGUGGUCAUCUCAUAUGUUUAUAGAUUGAGAAACAAAUAUUGAUUGUUGUCCUUCAUUCCAUGUGUUUCAGACUUCCACAGUGUUACUCUGGAUAUCAAAACUGUACUUCCAGUUGACUAAAGACCAUUUCCGCCUGGAUGUACUACCAGUACUGGGCAAGAAAGGAAGAAGAAUGAAACUAUUUGUGUUAUGGAGCACAGUUUAUCAGAUAAUCCCUGCACUGGAAAGUAUUGUUUACCAGAUAUCAACAAAAUGGUAUUCUUUUUCGUAUUUGACAUUACCUUGAAUAGUUAAAUGUAAAUAAAUAAAGAAAAAUUUUAAAAUGUAAAAUGCAUAUUUUAUGCUCUUUCCAAUAUUAACACUCAGAAUUGCAUAUUUCAUCUAAUUAUUCUAAAUGCAUAUGAACAAUUUUGAAUUAUUUGCUCUGUAUAAUCUCUUAUGAAUCCUACAAGGAGAAAAGAUGAGUUGUAAGAUUAUCAAGACAUCAGCCUAAACUAUUAACAGAAAAUACAAUGGUUAGUCACUUGAUAUAUAAUUUUGCAUAAAAUUACAUCUUAUGGUUCUUUCAGACCAUUUCUAAUACUAUAUAAAUAUGCACACACUUACAACAUGUACAUUUUCUGUUAAUUUAUUUUGCCUUGAGAGUAUUACCCAUGUCUUUAUUGGUAUCAAUUUAGAAUAAGACUUAACUAAUACUACCAGGGCCUUACUAAGUGAGGGAUAUAAUUGGACAUUUAGAUGAUAAACAUCUAGAGAUCAAUUUUAUAUUAGUAAGGCAUGGCUUAAUUCAAUAUAUUCAUCUCUAUGUGUAUGCUAUUGAUAUAGUAUCCCUUUUUUGGGUGUACAGUUUUCUGAUCUCAGCAUAUUUUCUUUUUUAAAAAAAGUAAGACUGAACCAAGCUAGCAGCUUGUAUCAUGUGAGCAAUUUAAACACAGAGAUCCAAUAGCAACACUUAAAACCUGGGAACUCUAGUGCAUGCUAUAGCAUUCUCAAAUCUUUAAUGGUUACAAAUAUACCCAGAAUGAAGACGGUGUAUUUUCUGUACCAUAUUUGAAUCAAUUUUUCAAUCUACAACUUAAAAUAAUAGCAAUUUGUUUUAGAACUCUUCUGUGGACUAAUGUGUGUAAUGCUGAACUGAGAGUUUCCAAGAGUUCCUUGAGGAGAAAAAAGUUCUCCCUUUUAAAAGCAGGCAUUCAAAAUUCUCCAUAUGCAUGUAAUAAUAGAUAACAUCUGGUAUUCUGAAUGUUAAUGUUGGGAGCAACUUUCAAAAUCUACAACUUUUAUAUUUUUUUCAUUUCUGCAUUUCUUUAUAUUUAAUCCUUUAAGAUAAAGACCCGUGCAUAUGUCUGUUUCCCCCAGCUGAGUGGUGUUAGGGAGGUGAGAGAAGUACACUGAAUUAAGUAUAAGGCUCACUUUGUUGAUUCUGUUCCUUUGUGACUUCAUGGAGGAUUGCCCUGACUCACUAAAGUGGGUCUUGUUUUGUGCUCAAAAAGCAUUCACACCCUGUGCAGUCAUAAUUUUUCAUUCAUAGAGACCCAGUCAUGCAAAAUAAUCGUAAUUUCUUAUGGCCUCCUCUUUGGGUGUCUCUAUUUAUCUGGAUUUCAGAAAGUAGGGUACCUUGUUAGGGAGUGGUUUUUCUGACUGACUGAGGAAAUCUAUUCACCUCGCGCUGGCCCAGUGACCUUCUGUUUCCAUUGCCAGAUUUAAUAGGCUCUUCUAGCAGGGCCUUACAGUUUCACAAUCUAUAAGCCAUUAGCUAAAGCUAUACCAAACCAAUGAGAAUCAAUUCCAGCAUAUGUGGGAUUUCGAUUUUAUUGCCCAAGAGUCAAU